GUUCGGAUGGCCGAGUGGUUAUGGCAUCGGACUUCUAAUCCGGUUGACUGUUGUGUCUGUAGGUUCGAUUCCUGCUCCUGAACA
This 84-nucleotide transfer RNA is filed under the name Trichonephila clavata. Its description in RNAcentral is "tRNA-Arg". It matches the Rfam family "Selenocysteine transfer RNA". The record is from RNAcentral. Lineage: Eukaryota; Metazoa; Arthropoda; Arachnida; Araneae; Nephilidae.